CUCUUAUCGAGAGAGGUGGAGGGAAAGGGCCCUGUGAAACCCGGCAACCAGUAAUAUUACUAAGGUGCCAAUUCCUGCAGAAUUACUGCAAGAUAAGAG
This is a regulatory RNA element of Clostridium tyrobutyricum DIVETGP, 99 nucleotides long. It matches the Rfam family "SAM riboswitch aptamer (S box leader)". Rfam says of the family: The SAM riboswitch is found upstream of a number of genes which code for proteins involved in methionine or cysteine biosynthesis in Gram-positive bacteria. The SAM riboswitch acts at the level of transcription termination control. The predicted structure consists of a complex stem-loop region followed by a single stem loop terminator region. NCBI's taxonomy places the organism in Bacteria, Bacillati, Bacillota, Clostridia, Eubacteriales, Clostridiaceae. The record is from Rfam.